GAUGAACGCUGGCGGCGUGCCUAAUACAUGCAAGUCGAGCGAACAGACGAGGAGCUUGCUCCUCUGACGUUAGCGGCGGACGGGUGAGUAACACGUGGAUAACCUACCUAUAAGACUGGGAUAACUUCGGGAAACCGGAGCUAAUACCGGAUAAUAUAUUGAACCGCAUGGUUCAAUAGUGAAAGACGGUUUUGCUGUCACUUAUAGAUGGAUCCGCGCCGCAUUAGCUAGUUGGUAAGGUAACGGCUUACCAAGGCAACGAUGCGUAGCCGACCUGAGAGGGUGAUCUGCCACACUGGAACUGGGACACGGUCCAGACUCCUACGGGAGGCAGCAGUAGGGAAUCUUCCGCAAUGGGCGAAAGCCUGCCGCAGCAACGCCGCGUGAGUGAUGAAGGUCUUCGGAUCGUAAAACUCUGUUAUUAGGGAAGACCAAAUGUGUAAGUAACUAUGCCCGUCUUGACGGUACCUAAUCAGAAAGCUACGGCUAACUACGUG
RNAcentral lists this ribosomal RNA (497 nucleotides) under uncultured bacterium. RNAcentral's name for it is "partial 16S ribosomal RNA". It matches the Rfam family "Bacterial small subunit ribosomal RNA", at positions 28 to 507 of the family's 1533-position model. The record is from RNAcentral.